Molecule: ribosomal RNA, 795 nt
Filed under: uncultured archaeon
Lineage: Archaea
Description: bacterial SSU rRNA
Rfam family: Archaeal small subunit ribosomal RNA
Source: RNAcentral
ACUGCUCAGUAACACGUGGACAACCUGCCCUGAGGACUGGAAUAAUCCCGGGAAACUGGGGGUAAUUCCAGAUAUGUCAGAACUCCUGGAAUGGGUUCUGGCAGAAAGGCUCCGGCGCCUCAGGAUGGGUCUGCGGCCUAUCAGGGUAGUAGUGGGUGUAACGUACCUACUAGCCUACGACGGGUACGGGUUGUGAGAGCAAGAGCCCGGAGAUGGAUUCUGAGACAUGAAUCCAGGCCCUACGGGGUGCAGCAGGCGCGAAAACUUUACAAUGCGGGCAACCGCGAUAAGGGGACCUCGAGUGCUGGGUUACAAACCUGGCUGUUGGGCUGCCUAAAAAGCAGUCUAUAGCAAGGGCCGGGCAAGACCGGUGCCAGCCGCCGCGGUAACACCGGCGGCUCGAGUGGUAACCGCUAUUAUUGGGUCUAAAGGGUCUGUGGCCGGCCGACUAAGUCUCUUGGGAAAUCUGGCAUCUCAAGUGUCAGGCUGCCAGGGGAUACUGGUCGGCUUGGGACCGGGAGAGGUGAGAGGUACCUCGGGGGUAGGGGUGAAAUCUUGUAAUCCUCGAGGGACCACCAGUGGCGAAGGCGUCUCACCAGAACGGAUCCGACGGCAAGGGACGAAAGCUAGGGGCACGAACCGGAUUAGAUACCCGGGUAGUCCUAGCCGUAAACGAUACUCGCUAGGUGUCGGCCACGGUGCGACCGUGGUCGGUGCCGUAGGGAAGCCGUGAAGCGAGCCACCUGGGAAGUACGGCCGCAAGGCUGAAACUUAAAGGAAUUGGCGGGGGAGCAC